Molecule: ribosomal RNA, 406 nt
Filed under: uncultured bacterium
Lineage: Bacteria
Description: partial 16S ribosomal RNA
Rfam family: Bacterial small subunit ribosomal RNA
Source: RNAcentral
AUUGAACGCUGGCGGCAGGCUUAACACAUGCAAGUCGAGCGAGCGGCGGACGGGUGAGUAAUGUCUGGGAAACUGCCUGAUGGAGGGGGAUAACUACUGGAAACGGUAGCUAAUACCGCAUACCAUCAGAUGAGCCCAGAUGGGAUUAGCUAGUAGGUGGGGUAAUGGCUCACGUAGGCGACGAUCUCUAGCUGGUCUGAGAGGCUGACCAGCCACACUGGAACUGAGACACGGUCCAGACGCCUACGGGAGUCCGCAGUGGGGAAUAUUGCACAAUGGGCGCAAUCCUGAGGCAGCCAUGCAGCGUGUGUGAAGAAGGACUUCGGGGUGUAAAGCACUUUCAGCGAGGAGGAGUUACUCGCAGAAGAAGCACCGGCUAACUCCGUGCCAGCAGCCGCGGUAAUAC